ACGCGCAUCAAGCGGUUGGAGGAAAAAAAACAGCCUUCUCUUAGUAUUUUGUAAAGUUUGUAUAAAAAACUUUAGGGUAAACUACAAAGACCACCCCUGGGGACUGUGACAAAGACCCCUGUACUUGUUUUUCAACAAAGACUUCCCUUAUACUAUGGCCGUGAGAUAAAGACCUCCUUUCGUUAGUGUUCCGUUCAAAUCCGUCAUUGCAAUAUUUUUUAAUCCUUAUAUUACUCUUCUGAGAAAAAAAUACUGUUCAUCUUCCCCGACCUCACCUCACAGUACACGAGCGAUGAUAGAUGUUGCAGUGGUGGCGGACUUCCGAAGUCCUCCCUCGCCUGUUGGUGAUGACGAUCUCAUCCAUUCAAAAAACAUAACGUCGGUGACGCGAAAUGGAAAUCAGAGUCCAGAGGUAUUCCGAAAAUUUGUCUUAAUUUCGUUUCUCUCUCAAUAGUCUGAUCAGAAUGGCUCAACAAUUCGUGAAAUCUGUCAAAGAUGGCUUGAAGCUCGCAAAGCGAAUAUACUUUGGAAAUGAUCGUUCCGUUUCACCUCCAAGGCCAGUCGCAAUGGAGAAAUCUUCCCACACGCUUCUUCAGACUUCUCCGAUGCUUUACGCGAUGGUCUCUGAUCCUGUAAUUAUUGAUAAUCCGGAUAUUCUGAGCUACCAGCCUGAGAUUUACAUUCUUCUGUAUUUGAUUUCAUGAGAAGAAGUGGAAAGAGAUGGAUAGAAACAGAGAAGCAAGGAGUCCUUAGCGGCGACGAAUGGAUUGUCGAGAAGGAGACAAAGGACCAGCAGUCUGAGGGAUUCACCUGAGGAAGAUGGGUCAAUGGAAUUGCAGGAAACGACGAGGUUACGAGAUCGAGUAAAUAAGAAAGAUAGAGAUCGAGAUCGGUCGAGUCGGAACAAGAGAAGAAGGGGAGAUAGAUUGAUGCAUGGGAGUAAUCGGGAGGAAGGUGGAGAAGAAUGUACCGAAGAAAGCGUUGACGAUGAUGAGGACGAAGACGCCGGUGCGGUUCGGAUGCUUCCCCCGAAUCCUCCAUCGUCCUCUCUGUCGAAUCAUCAUCAUCAUAGGAAGAGCUUUCCGCCUGCUAAGGUUGUUAGGGUGGCCCCGACGUGGAAGGUCCCUGAUGAGAUGUCGGUACCGAGAAAAGCUCGGUCAGCUUCGGCUAAAGGUCACAUGAAUGUUGACCUCAAGUGGAGGUGGUAGUGGUGGGGCAGGAGGAGGAGGAGAAGGUGGUGGCUGCGGCGAGCAGUUUCACCGUCAGGUUUCAACUUCACCUACGAGACCAAGUGCACCAGUACCCUCAACGGCUUUGAUCUCGCCUUCUUCUUCUACUGCUUCUAUGUCUGUGUCCGGAGAUUCAUCUAUUGAAAGUUUGAACUUAUGUUGCAGAAACCUAUCGGAGCUAAGCACCAGCCUCCAAAGAUUACUAAGGCCUCAUCUUCUUCAAUAUAGAAGAUUGAGAUCAACGUCGCAGAGAUUGAUAAGGCAAUUACAGUGCCCGCCAAACCAAGAAAUUACAGCAAACGCAUCACAGAAGAUAGAUUCAAAAGAGACCAAUGGAUCGAGUAACGAGGCAAAGUCGACAGUUUCUUCUCUGAUCUCAGUAUCAGUUUCGACUGCCGCCGCUGCAACAUCUAUCGCCACUGUUUAUGUACUAUGAGUGAGGUCGGGAAGAUGAAUAGUGUUUUUUCCAAUAGUUAUUUGAAGGGUAGUAUGAGGG
This is a long non-coding RNA of Nelumbo nucifera (sacred lotus), 1725 nucleotides long. RefSeq lists it as uncharacterized. The record is from RefSeq and is a predicted model, not a curated record. Lineage: Eukaryota; Viridiplantae; Streptophyta; Magnoliopsida; Proteales; Nelumbonaceae.